UACGUAGGGUGCAAGCGUUAAUCGGAAUUACUGGGCGUAAAGCGUGCGCAGGCGGUGAUGUAAGACAGAUGUGAAAUCCCCGGGCUCAACCUGGGAACUGCAUUAGUGACUGCAUCGCUGGAGUGCGGCAGAGGGGGAUGGAAUUCCGCGUGUAGCAGUGAAAUGCGUAGAUAUGCGGAGGAACACCGACGGCGAAGGCAAUCCCCUGGGCCUGCACUGACGCUCAUGCACGAAAGCGUGGGGAGCAAACAGG
RNAcentral lists this ribosomal RNA (253 nucleotides) under uncultured bacterium. RNAcentral describes it as "partial 16S ribosomal RNA". It matches the Rfam family "Bacterial small subunit ribosomal RNA", at positions 524 to 776 of the family's 1533-position model. The record is from RNAcentral.